GACGAACGCUGGCGGCGUGCUUAACACAUGCAAGUCGAACGAAGAGCGAUGGAAUCUUGCUUCUAUCAAUCUUAGUGGCGAACGUGUGAGUAACGCGUAAUCAACCUGCCCUUCAGUGGGGUACAACAGUUGGAAACGACUGCUAAUACCCCAUACGAUCUAAUCUCGUCAUCCAUGAUAGAUGAAAGGUGUCCUCUUCAUUUAUGCUAUCACUCAAGCUGUGUAUUGCGUCUGAUUAGCUAGCUGGUGGGGAAAAGGCCCACCAAGGCGAUGAUCAAAGGACGGACUGGAGAGAGGGAACGGCAAAUUGGGAAUGAGACAAGGCCCAGAAGCCUACGGGAGGCAGCAGGGGGGAAACUUCCGGAAUGGACGGAAGUCUGAAGGAGGAACGCCGGGUGAGGGAUGACGGGCUUCGGGUUGUAAAGCUCUGUUAAUCGGGACGAAAGGCAUUCGUGCGAAUAGUGAGAAGGAUUGACGGUACCGGAAUAGAAAGCCACGGCUAACUACGUG
Molecule: ribosomal RNA, 510 nt
Filed under: uncultured bacterium
Lineage: Bacteria
Description: partial 16S ribosomal RNA
Rfam family: Bacterial small subunit ribosomal RNA
Source: RNAcentral